This 677-nucleotide long non-coding RNA is filed under the name Olea europaea subsp. europaea. The record is from RNAcentral. Lineage: Eukaryota; Viridiplantae; Streptophyta; Magnoliopsida; Lamiales; Oleaceae.
GUGGACAGGUUGGUACCGCUACUCGUAAAACAGCUGCUGCAAGAUUAUUAAGAAUGGGUGCGUAAACAACAGGGUUCGUUUUCAAUGGAACUUCAAAGUAAGUUUUUGUACUUCAUCACAUCAGUUUUCUCAUAGAACUCCUGAUCUGAAGAUGCAAAAGUUUAUCAUGUAAUCUAUAUAUGUGACCUAUUACUUUAUACAAAGUCUGUAGUUAUAGUACCAUUGACUCCUAAAUUAUUCAAGUCUCUUGAAAGAUAAUCUAUUUUCAGGAAGCCGUGCUUCUACAUGAAAACCACAUUUACUUCCUCGGGUUAGAGUUAACAAUGUACUUUCUUAAGGUAAGCACAAAAUUUCCAUACACUAGGGCACGACCCGGUUAUUUUUCUUCACAUUUUUCUUUUCAUCUAGGGUGAGGAGCAGAAGUCCUGGAUUGUCAUUGUCUGAUGUGUGUAAUAGAUUAAAUCAUAUCUUUGAGCACUCUUUCAUGAAAUAAUCUUGUAUUAGUACUGAGUAACAUAUAGCUCUCAUUUGUUCGAAAAUCUCCCUCUUGAUCUGCAAAAUGAAACAAAUUUAUAUAGUCUGGAAUGCUUAUUGGCCUUGAAAUUGUAAUACAUUGCUGUGAUGUACAAAUCAAAUUGUUGUUUUUGAUUUAAGAAUGUUUAUGAAAAACAGGAAAU